ACCUGGGUGGCUCAGUUGGUUGAGCAUCCAACUUUGACUCAGGUCAUGAUCUCGCAAUUUGUGGGUUCAAGCCCCACAUUGGGUU
Molecule: transfer RNA, 85 nt
Filed under: Felis catus (domestic cat)
Lineage: Eukaryota; Metazoa; Chordata; Mammalia; Carnivora; Felidae
Rfam family: tRNA
About the family: Transfer RNA (tRNA) molecules are approximately 80 nucleotides in length. Their secondary structure includes four short double-helical elements and three loops (D, anti-codon, and T loops).
Source: Rfam by way of RNAcentral